UUUAUAAUUUAUGUCUUAUAUUAUAAAAUAUAUCAUUUAAGUAUAUUUAUGAACUAAAUUUUUUUAUAAACUGAUUAGGUUUUAAUUUACAAUUAAAAUAUAAUUUAUUAGUACCUUUUGUAUCAUGGUAAAUUUAAUUAUAAAUAUAUAGUUAUUUCCCGAAAAAUAAAUAUUUAUUUAAUAAUUUCUUUUUUUGUUGUAAAAAAAUUGUUAAUUUUUAAAUAGUAGUGAAAUGUUAAUCGCUUUAUUUUAUAUCUGGUUAACUAGGAAAUCAAUUUAAUUGUGAACUUAUUUUUUAGUUUUAUAUUAUUUUGGAUAAUCUAAAUUUUUUCUUAAAAUUUUAAUUUUUAUAUAUUUAUUAAAUUUUAAAUCUUUUUUUUAAGUUCUUAAUUGAUUAAUAUUUUUAUUUACGAUUUUUUUGUAUUUAUGUUUUUACUUGUUAAAAUUAUUUAAUUAUUUUUUAAUUUCUAUAAUGAUUUAAUUAGUAAAAUUUUAAAUUAAUUUUUAAUGAACUCGACAUUUAUUAUUUCCAACUGUUUAUCAAAAACAUUUCCUUUAGUUUGUUGUUAAAGGUAAUUUCUGCCCUAUGAAUUUUAAAUGGCUGCAGUACCCUGACUGUGCAAAGGUAGCAUAAUAAUUAGUCAUUUAAUUGUUGACUUGCAUGAAUGAAUACAUGAGAUAUAAAUUUUAUUAGUUUUAAUAUUUAAAUUUUAUUUUUAGGUAAAAAAGCUUAAUUAAUUUUUAGGGACGAUAAGACCCUAUAGAACUUUACAAAUUUAUUAAAUUAAUUAGAUUUAGAAGUCUAUUUUAUUUUUUUUAUUAAAAUUUGUUUGGUUGGGGUGACAGGUAAAUUUUACUUUACUUUAUUUAAUCAUUAAAUUUAUGUUUUUAUUGAUCCAUUGUUUAGACAAAAAGAAAAAGUUACCUUAGGGAUAACAGCGUAAUUUUAGUGGGGAGUUCUUAUUUAUACUAAAGUUUGCGACCUCGAUGUUGAAUUAAGAUUAGUUUAGGGGGUAGGUUUUCUAAAACUAAGUCUGUUCGACUUUUAAAAUCUUACAUGAUUUGAGUUCAAACCGGUGUGAGCCAGGUUGGUUUCUAUCUUAAUAUUAUUAAAUUUUCUUAGUACGAAAGGACCAGUAAAUUCAAUAUUUUUUGUAA
RNAcentral lists this ribosomal RNA (1158 nucleotides) under Bothrogonia tongmaiana. Its description in RNAcentral is "16S ribosomal RNA". The stretch from base 742 to 1104 matches the Rfam family "Archaeal large subunit ribosomal RNA", at positions 2151 to 2715 of the family's 2987-position model. The record is from RNAcentral. Lineage: Eukaryota; Metazoa; Arthropoda; Insecta; Hemiptera; Cicadellidae.